Molecule: ribosomal RNA, 253 nt
Filed under: uncultured bacterium
Lineage: Bacteria
Description: partial 16S ribosomal RNA
Rfam family: Bacterial small subunit ribosomal RNA
Source: RNAcentral
UACAGAGGUCCCAAGCGUUGUUCGGAUUCACUGGGCGUAAAGGGUGCGUAGGUGGCCGGGUAAGUCUGACGUGAAAUCUCCAAGCUCAACUUGGAAACUGCAUCGGAUACUAUCCGGCUCGAGGAUCGGAGGGGAGACUGGAAUGCUUGGUGUAGCAGUGAAAUGCGUAGAUAUCAAGCGGAACACCAGUGGCGAAGGCGAGUCUCUGGACGAUUCCUGACGCUGAGGCACGAAAGCCAGGGGAGCAAACGGG